RNAcentral lists this ribosomal RNA (253 nucleotides) under uncultured bacterium. RNAcentral's name for it is "partial 16S ribosomal RNA". It matches the Rfam family "Bacterial small subunit ribosomal RNA", at positions 524 to 776 of the family's 1533-position model. The record is from RNAcentral.
UACGAAGGGGGCUAGCGUUGCUCGGAAUUACUGGGCGUAAAGCGCACGUAGGCGGCUUUCUAAGUCGGGGGUGAAAUCCUGGAGCUCAACUCCAGAACUGCCUUCGAUACUGGAGAGCUUGAGUCCGGGAGAGGUGAGUGGAACUGCGAGUGUAGAGGUGAAAUUCGUAGAUAUUCGCAAGAACACCAGUGGCGAAGGCGGCUCACUGGCCCGGUACUGACGCUGAGGUGCGAAGGCGUGGGGAGCAAACAGG